This 395-nucleotide ribosomal RNA is filed under the name uncultured bacterium. RNAcentral describes it as "bacterial SSU rRNA". It matches the Rfam family "Bacterial small subunit ribosomal RNA", at positions 29 to 408 of the family's 1533-position model. The record is from RNAcentral.
AACGAACGCUGGCGGCGUGCCUAACACAUGCAAGUCGUGCGAGAAAGUUCCUUCGGGAGCGAGUAAAGCGGCGCACGGGUGAGUAACACGUAGGUAACCUGCCCCCCAGUCUGGAACAACUAGAGGAAACUCUAGCUAAUGCCGGAUGAGACCACGAUCCCUUCGGGGGUUGCGGCCAAAGAUGGCCUCUACUUGUAAGCUAUCGCUGAGGGAUGGGCCUGCGGGCCAUUAGCUUGUUGGUGAGGUAACGGCUCACCAAGGCUGUGAUGGCUAGCUGGUCUGAGAGGAUGACCAGCCACACUGGGACUGAGACACGGCCCAGACUCCUACGGAGGCAGCAGUGGGGAAUAUUGCGCAAUGGGCGAAAGCCUGACGCAGCGACGCCGCGUGGGUGA